GACCAGUGUAAGCCACGUGAUCAUCCACGCGAACUGUGCAGAGUCGCUGAUACUGAGACACCAGCAAUCAUUGCCAAGACCCCUGAUGCCUGAGGCAAAGGUGAUGUUCGACUUCCUUCUACUGCUGCAGUUUGUAUGGUGAUGGUCCUUCCACAGUGCUUUUAGCUAUAGGUACAGUCAGUGGAAUGAUGCCUUUUCUCACUGCCCUCUGAGUUGAGACGAACAUUGGAAUGUGUUCCUGUCACCCUGUGGGGAAUAAGGUUGGACAAAGCAGCUUCAUCCUCAGUCUGUUGCAUUAGUGACCGGCUGCAUCAUUGCUGAAACAUUGAACUGAAAUGAGAACUUCCUGAGUGGAUUGUUUACUGAGUGAGUUUGAUUGAUUGAUGAAUUUGGGUGAAGGGAUAUUUCAGCACAUUCUUCAGCUGCUGUCUGAACUUAGUCUGGGUCACGGCAUAAAUCGCGGUGUUUGUGCAGCAACUGAGUAGCUGCAGCAUGAAGCCCAAUUCCUGCACAAAUUUAGGUACACGCUCAAGCUGAGACCCCAUAUUCCACAUCCGGUUCCAUAUAGAAUACGCCAUUAAUAUUGACCAUAACAAGAUGAAAUUGGCUGAGAUCACAAACAGUAAAAUAAUGGAUUUUUUCCGAUUUCUCAUUUCUGCGUCACACUGACCAUCCUCAUUGGUGUGAGCCCGGAGUCUCCUGCGG
Long non-coding RNA from Rhincodon typus (whale shark), 705 nucleotides. RefSeq lists it as uncharacterized. The record is from RefSeq and is a predicted model, not a curated record. The transcript has 3 exons. NCBI's taxonomy places the organism in Eukaryota, Metazoa, Chordata, Chondrichthyes, Orectolobiformes, Rhincodontidae.